UCUCUCUCUCUCUCUCUCUCUCUCUCUCUCUCUCUCUCUCUCUCUCUCUCUCUCUCUCUCUCUCUCAGCACCGGCCAAGCCCCAACAGGUGGAUGGAUGGCUGUACCGAUGCGGAGCUCAGAAGAGUCCGGGUUGGGGGAGGGGGAAGUGACCCUCCCGGGACCUCUCUCCUGGGAAGAAAUAAAACCAGGAGCCUCGAAGACCAUCACUCCGCCGCCCACCCCUCAGCCCCGCCUCGCCUGCUAACUAGGAGUGUGGGGAAGGAGUGACAAGCAGCCGAAAGCUAGCAGGGCCUCUUGGGGUCAGCAAGCAGAGGGAGACCCAGUGCCUGAAAGAAGGUCAGGCAUUAUUAGAAGGAAAGAGAGACCAAGAAUCAGAAGGAAGAGGAUCCAUGAUGGCUUCGGGAAGAAGAGAGGGAAAGACCCUAGGCCAGAUUUGUUUAUUAGGACCACGGAAUUUUGAGCUGGAAGGGAUCACCAAGUCCAAACACAUUUUAAGAUAAAGAAACUGAGACAGAGAGAGGUGUUCAAAGGCAAACAUGCAGCAAACUCCAGAACCAGGAUCCAAGCCCAGUUUCCUCUCUGCACUAACGCCAGGGCUAUCUCCAUUAUCUUAACUGACUGUAAGACUAAGUGGAAGAAGUAUUCACGGACAGAGUCUGAUGGAGCCAUUUCUUCAAGUGGACAAAGGAUCUUAGCACUACCUUCUCAGAGCAGUUUGGGGGUAAAAAUGGAGGGAAACAUUUCCUCUACAAGAUUUACAAUAUCUUGUUUUUCAUCAGCCAACAACUUGUUCUGAAAAUAGGAAGAGGCUAGACCUUAGCAUGAGCAAAUUGGGAAUUUGGGCAUUAAAGAUUUGGGUCACAGUAACAAUCUGGUUUCCUGUGGGUCACUCUAUUGAAGUGGCUCUCAAAAUUACCUCCUAAUCACCAAAUCCAAGGUUCUGUUGGAUCCCAGGCCUUAUUCCCCUUUAACCCUCUUCUGUGACUACCUCCCCCCACCAAAGACUAGUGCCUUCCCCUCUCUUCCAUCUGCUCUGUAUUUAUUUGUCUCCUUCAUUAGACUGCAAGCUUCUUGAGAUUAAGGACUAUUUUUGCUUUUUCUUUGUAUCACCCUGAACAUAAUAAACUAUUAAGAAAUGCUAGUUUGUUGAUUGAUGGAUUGAUUUGACAUUGUUCUGCUCCCCCUUUCUUGAAAUUCUUCACUCCCCUGGCUUUUGCUUUCCCUGGCUCUCUCAACCUCUUUGGCCAACGGUCACCUCUCCCACUCUCUAAAGGCAAAUUCUCAAUGAUGCAGUCAACUUCCCCUCCAAUCUAUCCUACACACUGUUGCCAAAAUAACAAUAACAAUUUUAAUAGGUACCUCUCUGGUCUUCUCACUCUCUGACUCAAAAUGACUUCCCACUUCCCAUUUGUUAAAAUGGUUUAAGAGUCUUUGGCCUGGUAUUCAAAGCCUUCCCCUAACAAUGUUCCAACCUCAAGCUUCCUUUUUCUUCACCUUAUGCUCUAAUCAAACAGUGAUGUCCACUGUUCUCCCAAAACUUCCUAUUUUCUUCUGCCCUCGUGCCUUUGCAUGCCUUAUGCUAUAUCAGAGUAAAUUGUUAGUAUUUUCUUUACUAGAUUGUAAAGGCAGCUUGGCAUAGUAGCUAGCUAGCUUUGGGACCUAGGAAAACCUGGAUAAAAGUCCACCUCCUUUUAUAUACAAGUACUGUGUGAUUCUGGGAAGGCCUCUUAACCUCUCAAUCCCAGGCAACUAUCUAAGACCAUGAAUUGCUGAUCUUAGAUAGAGGGAGUUCACUACAC
Molecule: long non-coding RNA, 1801 nt
Organism: Phascolarctos cinereus (koala)
Lineage: Eukaryota; Metazoa; Chordata; Mammalia; Diprotodontia; Phascolarctidae
Source: RefSeq, a predicted model, not a curated record